GAUGAACGCUGGCGGCGUGCUUAACACAUGCAAGUCGAGCGACCAGACGAGGUGCUUGCUCCUUCCACGUGACCGGCGGAUGGGUGAUUAACACGUAGGUAACCUACCUAUAAGACUGGGACAACUUAGGGAAACUGGAUCUAACAUCGGAUAAGAUUUCGAACCGCAUGGUUCGUUAGUGAAAGAUGUCUUUGCUAUCACUUAUAGAUGGUCCUGCGGCGUAUUAGCUAGUUGGUACGGUAACGGCUUACCAAGGCGACGAUACGUAGCCGACCUGAGAGGGUGAUCAGCCACACUGGGACUGAGACACGGUCCAGACUCCUACGGGAGGCAGCAGUGGGGAAUGUUGCACAAUGGGCGAAAGCCUGACGGAGCAACGCCGCGUGAGUGAUGAAGGUCUUCGGGUCGUAAAGCACUUUUGGUGGGAAAGAAAAGGACUGUAAGAAAAUCUGCGCUCGAUGACGGUACCCGAAGAAAAAGCACCGGCUAACUACGUG
This 497-nucleotide ribosomal RNA is filed under the name uncultured bacterium. RNAcentral describes it as "partial 16S ribosomal RNA". It matches the Rfam family "Bacterial small subunit ribosomal RNA", at positions 28 to 507 of the family's 1533-position model. The record is from RNAcentral.